UGGUGAGGAUGGAGCUGUACGGCUUUGGG
RNAcentral lists this non-coding RNA (29 nucleotides) under Cricetulus griseus (Chinese hamster). Lineage: Eukaryota; Metazoa; Chordata; Mammalia; Rodentia; Cricetidae. The record is from RNAcentral.